GCAAGUCGAACGGGAUCUUCGGAUCUAGUGGCAGACGGGUGAGUAACGCGUGGGAACCUGCCCAGUAGUAGAGAAUAACUUGAGGAAACUUAAGCUAAUACUUUAUACACCCUUCGGGGAAAAGCUUUAUGCGCUAUUGGAUGGGCCCGCGUUAGAUUAGUUUGUUGGUGAGGUAAUGGCUCACCAAGACUACGAUCUAUAGCUGGUCUGAGAGGAUGAUCAGCCACACUGGGACUGAGACACGGCCCAGGCUCCUACGGGAGGCAGCAGUGGGGAAUAUUGGACAAUGGGGGCAACCCUGAUCCAGCGAUGCCGCGUGAGUGAUGAAGGCCUUCGGGUUGUAAAACUCUUUCGUCAGGGAAGAUAAUGACGGUACCUGAAGAAGAAGAUCCGGCUAACUCCGUGCCAGCAGCCGCGGUAAUACGGAGGGAUCUAGCGUUAUUCGGAAUUACUGGGCGUAAAGCGAGCGUAGGCGGAUUUGUAAGUUGGAGGUGAAAUCCCAGAGCUUAACUCUGGAACUGCCUUCAAAACUACAUUUCUUGAGUUUGGUAGAGGAGAGUGGAAUUCCUAGUGUAGAGGUGAAAUUCGUAGAUAUUAGGAGGAACACCAGUGGCGAAGGCGACUCUCUGGGCCAAUACUGACGCUGAGGUUCGAAAGCAUGGGUAGCGAACAGGAUUAGAUACCCUGGUAGUCCAUGCAGUAAACGAUGAGUGCUAGAUGUUGGGAAUUUAAAUUUCCAGUAUCGCAGUUAACGCGUUAAGCACUC
RNAcentral lists this ribosomal RNA (766 nucleotides) under uncultured bacterium. Its description in RNAcentral is "bacterial SSU rRNA". It matches the Rfam family "Bacterial small subunit ribosomal RNA", at positions 57 to 869 of the family's 1533-position model. The record is from RNAcentral.